Molecule: long non-coding RNA, 424 nt
Organism: Choloepus didactylus (southern two-toed sloth)
Lineage: Eukaryota; Metazoa; Chordata; Mammalia; Pilosa; Megalonychidae
Exons: 3
Source: RefSeq, a predicted model, not a curated record
GGGAGUCCACAGGAGGGCUUCUCGAUCCAGCUUGGGUGGGCUGCAUCCUGGGAAGGACAGGAAAGGCUUCUAGGAGGAGAUGAUGUCAGAGCUGAGUCGUAAAAGGGGAUCCACAUUACAUUCAGUGCCUUACUUCUUUCGCUGGGAAGGGUUCCUUGGUUGGAAACAAUAUGGAGUAGGACACCCUGGCUGUCUCUAAGGCACUCCAUAAGUCUACAGACGGUGGUGAUGGCAGGGACGCAGGAAGCAAGGAAUGCAAAUCCAAUGACCGAAGAAGUGCCUAUUCCGCCAAGCCCUGCCUAAAUCAUAGCAACCAAAGAAGACUUCCACUGGAGAGGAUGCCAAACUUACCUUAAACCAUUCCAGUGCUUAUCAGUCUUCCUCUCCCAGCUGCCUCCGUCUUGCUCCAGGAUCAAGGCUCAAC